RNAcentral lists this ribosomal RNA (492 nucleotides) under uncultured bacterium. RNAcentral describes it as "partial 16S ribosomal RNA". It matches the Rfam family "Bacterial small subunit ribosomal RNA", at positions 29 to 507 of the family's 1533-position model. The record is from RNAcentral.
AGUGAACGCUGGCGGUAGGCCUAGCACAUGCAAGUCGAACGGCAGCACAGUAAGAGCUUGCUCUUACGGGUGGCGAGUGGCGGACGGGUGAGGAAUACAUCGGAAUCUACUUUUUCUUGGGGGAUAACGUAGGGAAACUUACGCUAAUACCGCAUAUGACCUACGGGUUAAAGCAGUGGUUCUUCGGACCUUUCGCGAUUGAAUGAGCCGAUGUCGGAUUAGCUAGUUGGCGGGGUAAAGGCCCACCAAGGCGACGAUCCGUAGCUGGUCUGAGAGGAUGAUCAGCCACACUGGAACUGAGACACGGUCCAGACUCCUACGGGAGGCAGCAGUGGGGAAUAUUGGACAAUGGGCGCAAGCCUGAUCCAGCCAUACCGCGUGGGUGAAGAAGGCCUUCGGGUUGUAAAGCCCUUUUGUUGGGAAAGAAAAGCAGCAGGUUAAUACCCCGCUGUUCUGACGGUACCCAAAGAAUAAGCACCGGCUAACUUCGUG